This 44-nucleotide ribosomal RNA is filed under the name Parasola misera. RNAcentral describes it as "Parasola miser partial 28S ribosomal RNA". Lineage: Eukaryota; Fungi; Basidiomycota; Agaricomycetes; Agaricales; Psathyrellaceae. The record is from RNAcentral.
CUGCUGGUUNGGAGACCCUUAGGAGCUGGCUUCUAANCCGUCCG